RNAcentral lists this ribosomal RNA (500 nucleotides) under uncultured bacterium. Its description in RNAcentral is "partial 16S ribosomal RNA". It matches the Rfam family "Bacterial small subunit ribosomal RNA", at positions 29 to 523 of the family's 1533-position model. The record is from RNAcentral.
AUUGAACGCUGGCGGCAUGCCUUACACAUGCAAGUCGAACGGCAGCACGGGAGCAAUCCUGGUGGCGAGUGGCGAACGGGUGAGUAAAGUAUCGGAACGUGCCCAGUCGGGGGGGAUAACGGAGCGAAAGUUACGCUAAUACCGCAUACGACCUCUGGAUGAAAGGGGGGGAUCGAGAGACCUCGCGCGAUUGGGGCGGCCCAUAUCAGCUUAGGUAGUUGGGGGGGUAAAGGCUCACCAAGCCGACGAUCUGUAGCUGGUCUGAGCGGACGACCAGCCACACUGGGACUGAGACACGGCCCAGACUCCUACGGGAGGCAGCAGUGGGGAAUUUUGGACAAUGGGCGAAAGCCUGAUCCAGCCAUGCCGCGUGCAGGAUGAAGGCCUUCGGGUUGUAAACUGCUUUUGUACGGAACGAAAAGGUUUGGCCUAAUAAGCUGAGCUCAUGACGGUACCGUAAGAAUAAGCACCGGCUAACUACGUGCCAGCAGCCGCAGUAA